AUGGACUAAAUAUAUAACUAAUUAGAAUUUCUCAUUGGGUUGUUUUCUUGUCAAUGAGUGUCAUUCAAAACUGUAACUAUAUGAAGGCUGUUGAUUUUAUGCAUCAAGAAAAUAGAAGACGAGGCAUUUUAGUGGGGAUGGCUGGUGUAACUAGAUUUGUAUGAAAAUGCAUUUGGUCUUGAUUUUCUUUGUCUUCAAAUAAUAUUUCAUUUACUUUACUUUUUUCACCAUAGUACAUCCCAUGCUUUACUGGGUGAGUAGAGGCAGUUGUACAUCUGCUUUGCCCGUGUUUUGAGCCUGGCAGAUAUGAGAAGUCCAAUUCAGAAGCCAUGUGCUGAAAAGCAAGAUAUAUUAGCGCAGGCUCAGUGCCAUGUUCAUAUGGUUACAUGGCUUUUGGAUAGAGCUGGCUGACAUCUGGCUUGUGUGAAGUGUGGUAGAGUAAAAUCCCAACUGUCUACACCUAUUCAUCUGGACAUACCCAACAUGUGGUUGAAGUAACAAGUUGUAAUUCACUGCUUAGUAAACUUGCUUCACCAUUUUUAGUUUCUUUUCUGACUUGUGUAUUAGCAGGUUACAUCCUGUGUUUACACAGUAUCUUCAUUGCUCUAUCAUUCGUCUUAUGCCUGUCAUUAAUACACCUAAAGCACUGUACAGAUAAAUAACUAUAGCUGCUCAAGAUUACUACAUUCUCAGAAUAAAAACUGGCUUUACAUCUACUUGGGAAUAAUCAUGAAAUAAUGUUGGUUUAGAAAAGAAUUGAGGAGCCAUGCCUUUCUAGAGAAGUUUGGAUCUCCAGUUUCCUUUAUUUCAAGAGAAGUAUAACUUUUCAAAAAGCUUCCUAUUUGUGUUUUCAGUAAAGACAAUAGUCUAAAGAAAAAAUCCUUUAAAUCAUUGCUAGUCAAAACUUGGUCACUAAAUUAUUAGAAAAUGCUUGGAUGAGUUGUAGUUUACUAUGAAUUUACAACUUUUGUCUCAAUCUGUUUAUGAUAUGGGUAUCCCAAUGCAGAGAGUUCGUAAAAUUGGAUUGAGGUUAAAUGUUUUAAAUUACUUAAGUCCUAAAGCUUCUGUAUGAAUUUUAAGAAGGCUGGGAGAAAGCAUGCUGGUUAAAGUUCAGGUCUUUGUAUGAUUUAUGAAUGAUUUGCUUCUGUUUUAGGUUAUGAGCCUCUCAGUACCUUCAUCAGUUUUUCAAGAAAGCCAGGGCACAAUGCCUAUGUUAUAUAGGCAAGCAGAAACUGGAGUGGAAAAAGAAAGUUCCUACUACAAAAGCAGCAAAGCUGGAAUGUGCUGUGGAGACUCAGAUUGUUUUUCAGCUCUGUGGGUGUGUAUGGUUGGUCAGAGAUUGCAUCCUGGACCUGAACUCCCUGCUCAAAGCUUCACCUCAACCACUCCAUGGCAUGAAGGUGAAUCAGUAGCUCCUCACAGAACAUUUCUAACUGAAAAAAAUAGAAAUGUAUUGGCCAACUCAAAGUAUGACCAGUGCUUAUGCUGGUUCCUUCAAGGAUAUUGAGUCUCCCAGUCCUUUACACUUUGAAAAGAAUGAUUGGAAACCUUGAACACCUGCCUUAAAUCAAAAGGCUUAUGUAGCUCAAAAUAUUAAUCUUACCUAAGUUAAAAGAAAACAUCCACAAGAAGGAGAGAUUUCUGUUUUAAUCUGUUAGUAAAAAAAUAUUUUAACAGUUUAUAUAAUAAUAUAAUUUAUCAGUGGAAUAACUUGCCAGAAAUGUGGUGGAUUCUUUGCCACCAGCAGAUAUUUGGAAGGAUACCUAAGCUAACUUUAGAAGAUAGAUGACAGCUUAGCCAUGUGCU
Anas platyrhynchos (mallard) is the source of this 1806-nucleotide non-coding RNA. NCBI's taxonomy places the organism in Eukaryota, Metazoa, Chordata, Aves, Anseriformes, Anatidae. The record is from RefSeq and is a predicted model, not a curated record.